This 701-nucleotide ribosomal RNA is filed under the name uncultured Serratia sp. Its description in RNAcentral is "bacterial SSU rRNA". It matches the Rfam family "Bacterial small subunit ribosomal RNA", at positions 779 to 1480 of the family's 1533-position model. The record is from RNAcentral. Lineage: Bacteria; Pseudomonadati; Pseudomonadota; Gammaproteobacteria; Enterobacterales; Yersiniaceae.
UAGAUACCCUGGUAGUCCACGCUGUAAACGAUGUCGAUUUGGAGGUUGUGCCCUUGAGGCGUGGCUUCCGGAGCUAACGCGUUAAAUCGACCGCCUGGGGAGUACGGCCGCAAGGUUAAAACUCAAAUGAAUUGACGGGGGCCCGCACAAGCGGUGGAGCAUGUGGUUUAAUUCGAUGCAACGCGAAGAACCUUACCUACUCUUGACAUCCAGAGAACUUAGCAGAGAUGCUUUGGUGCCUUCGGGAACUCUGAGACAGGUGCUGCAUGGCUGUCGUCAGCUCGUGUUGUGAAAUGUUGGGUUAAGUCCCGCAACGAGCGCAACCCUUAUCCUUUGUUGCCAGCGGUUCGGCCGGGAACUCAAAGGAGACUGCCAGUGAUAAACUGGAGGAAGGUGGGGAUGACGUCAAGUCAUCAUGGCCCUUACGAGUAGGGCUACACACGUGCUACAAUGGCAUAUACAAAGAGAAGCGACCUCGCGAGAGCAAGCGGACCUCAUAAAGUAUGUCGUAGUCCGGAUUGGAGUCUGCAACUCGACUCCAUGAAGUCGGAAUCGCUAGUAAUCGUAGAUCAGAAUGCUACGGUGAAUACGUUCCCGGGCCUUGUACACACCGCCCGUCACACCAUGGGAGUGGGUUGCAAAAGAAGUAGGUAGCUUAACCUUCGGGGGGGCGCUUACCACUUUGUGAUUCAUGACUGGGG